This 497-nucleotide ribosomal RNA is filed under the name uncultured bacterium. RNAcentral describes it as "partial 16S ribosomal RNA". It matches the Rfam family "Bacterial small subunit ribosomal RNA", at positions 28 to 507 of the family's 1533-position model. The record is from RNAcentral.
GAUGAACGCUGGCGGCGUGCCUAAUACAUGCAAGUCGAGCGAACGGACGAGAAGCUUGCUUCUCUGAUGUUAGCGGCGGACGGGUGAGUAACACGUGGAUAACCUACCUAUAAGACUGGGAUAACUUCGGGAAACCGGAGCUAAUACCGGAUAAUAUUUUGAACCGCAUGGUUCAAAAGAGAAAGACGGUCUUGCUGUCACUUAUAGAUGGAGCCGCGCUGCAUUAGCUAGUUGGUAAGGUAACGGCUUACCAAGGCAACGAUGCAUAGCCGACCUGAGAGGGUGAUCGGCCACACUGGAACUGAGACACGGUCCAGACUCCUACGGGAGGCAGCAGUAGGGAAUCUUCCGCAAUGGGCGAAAGCCUGACGGAGCAACGCCGCGUGAGUGAUGAAGGUCUUCGGAUCGUAAAACUCUGUUAUUAGGGAAGAACAUAUGUGUAAGUAACUGUGCACAUCUUGACGGUACCUAAUCAGAAAGCCACGGCUAACUACGUG